RNAcentral lists this long non-coding RNA (803 nucleotides) under Vulpes vulpes (red fox). Its description in RNAcentral is "lncRNA (ENSVVUG00000008006.1)". Lineage: Eukaryota; Metazoa; Chordata; Mammalia; Carnivora; Canidae. The record is from RNAcentral.
AAGGCUGUUAGGGUUUAUCGUUUGGAUUUCUGACUUUUGGGGGUGUGACUUUUCCCCUGUAUUUCUUUGGGCUCUGAUUUCAGAUGGCUGGUGACCAGAUGACAAGAAUCUAAUGUUUUGCUUGUGGAUAUUCUUGAACCUUGUGCCUGCUCCUGGCUCCUUUACCAGUGGGAAGUUUGGGAGGCAGAAAAGGGAAGAGAAAUGCAGACCAGUUUGCACUGGGGCAUCUGUGGUCAUCUUGUGAUAUUCCAGUGGAGUCGUCAGGCCAUGUGAGAAGAAUGGAGGUUUGACCUGGGAGACAGGCGUUCUCAUGUCCUGUUCACAAGUCCUCAUGACCGAUAACGUGUGAAGACAACUGGGAAUGCCACAAGGUCUCUCUCUUUUGCAAGACCGUGUUCUUUUUAACCCCCCUCUGUGCCCACAGUCCUCUUGAAAGCCCCUCUCCAGAGUCACAAACAUUUGUUUGCUCUUCCUGAGGUUGGAGCCCUCUCUCUCCCUGCUGUGGGCACUGCCAGCGCGGUCACCGCCAGCUUCCCCCUCGGCUGCCUUACUAGAGAUGCCGUUUUGUUUUCUUUCCCUCCUUUGUUUUGCCUCUUCAAGAAAAUGGAAGUGAGCACCUGAGAGAGAGAGAGAGAGAGAGAGAGAGAGAGAGAGAGAGGGAGAGAGAGGGAGGGAGAGAGAGAGAGGAAGGCAGAGGGGAAAGACUGUGAGCACCAGAUGAUCUGAGAAUGAUAAAGGAAGGUUACCUGUGUGUUUGUCAACAAGAUGAAAUAAAUAAGAGCAAAAAGAAAAAAAAAAGGACA